Alligator mississippiensis (American alligator) is the source of this 697-nucleotide long non-coding RNA. RefSeq lists it as uncharacterized. The record is from RefSeq and is a predicted model, not a curated record. Lineage: Eukaryota; Metazoa; Chordata; Crocodylia; Alligatoridae. The transcript is spliced from 2 exons.
UUAGAACUCUGGCUGCCCUUAGAGAGGAGAACAUUUUGCUGUGGGCGGGCAGGCAGGCAGGCAACAUUGCUUGGCUGAGUUACUGCGUGGGAACAUCUUGCAGAGCGAAUAAAAGGAACAGCGUACUCGGCAUGCAGCAGAUGCAUGGAGGGACAGAAGAGGAUGGGCAAAGAACAGCUGGCAGCAGGUGGAACCAGCACCCUGAAGAGCCUGAAGAUGCCUCUUUGUGAGUGGGAGCAGCAAGCAGCAGCAUGCCCAGCUCCACCGCGGGGAACAUGGUGUCAGCGCACAGCUCGGUGCAUGGAGCCCAGACCCUCGGAGCCAUCUGAGGCGGCUUAGGUCUGCAACCCCCCCAGUGUGAGGCUGGAAAUCCAGAGCCAGCAGCAUGAUGUAGUGUGGCACAGUCCAGAGGGACCCUGACCUCUCGAGGUGGCUUGGGUCCACCCUUUCCUGGCACACGGCCAGGACUCCCGGGCACACUUGUGCACGGCUGCUCCCAGGCAGGGACCUGGGCCUGGGAGCCACAGAAGGCAGCCCUAGCCCCCAGCUGAGAGCAGAAGGCGGAGCUCUCAGUGCACGGGGCCACCUGUGGGAAUCGGCCCAAAGAGAGCCCGUGGCCUGGGAGGAGCGCCUCAGUCGAGGGGACGAGUACCACCCAUGCAUGCCCACAGAGUCGUGAGUUGUUGAGGAAUGGAUU